CGGCGACCGGCGGCAGGCCAGGCGGGGGGCGGAUUGGAUCGGAUGCGCUGCGCGCCCGCACGGCUUGUCGGGGGAGGGGGGCGACGUGGCCCAAGCUGCGACACUCCUCCUCCGCGUAUUUUAAUCCCGGCGAGCCCUAGAUAUUUUCGGCUCCCCGCCCCGGCGCCUUUCCGCUCCCUGCAAGAAGGCCACCCCCGGCGGCCUCCCCGGCUGCGCGCAGCGCACGCAUCGGGCCGGGAAUCCACCUCAGAUUUCGCUUGCUCCCCUCCCUCCCCCCGCGGCGUCCCCCCCGUCUCUCUCUCCGCGCUGGUGAGCCCCCGCGGGCGACGUGUGUCCCCUGUCCCGCGGGGGGUUUCCUCGCCUUCGACGGCCAUCUGUUCGCCUCGCAUGGCUCCCCUCCUGCCAAGCGUCCUCGCGUCGUCCCGGGAGCGCCUCCGCUCGCCAGGCGGCCGAGCGCCGCGGCGUCCAGCACAGAUCCGCGCGCCGCCCAGCUAAUCGCCGCGCCACUUCCUCAGACUCCCAUCUCUAAUAGCUCACCCGCAUCCCCCGUGCUCGGCGCGGCCUUCUCUUCCUUGCCUCCUCCUGUAUGUAGCUUAUAGCUUGUAGCUCCCUCACUCCCAAACUAGCAGCUCAGAAUGGCUCCGCUUGCCUUUAAUUUCGCAUCUCUCGAGCCGCAGCGGCACGCCGUCGUCGUCUCAGAUUAAUGCAAGGGGUGGUGACAAGCUAGAGGCAGCAGCUGCAUAUCCUGCAAGAAAAUUGGUUUUCAGACCAUACCUAUGAUUUUCUUGCAAGUUGUGCAGUUGUUGUCUCAAGCUUGCUGCCUCCCUUUGCCAAAACUAUCAAGAAAAGCACAGGUUAUGUUAUUGAUGAACACAUAGGUUAAAAUUAAAUGAAUGAGCAUGUGUCUGUAACAAGCAGGAUGUUAAUUUAUGAAAUCUUGUAGCAUAAAGUAGCACUUCUCAGCAUUAUACUUAUACCACAGAUAUUAGGUUCAAAACUUGGUUGUCCAUUUUAUAGCAUGAAGUAGUAUUUAUUUUAUUAUUAAGGAAAUGCAAAAACCGGUUCUCCAUAUUGGCAAUGUGUGGCUAUCUUAAUGGUUUCUUUUAGCUUUGGUCAUCAUGCAGUAUGCUAAGGUGGCGCUUACUGAACUAGCAAACUAUGUAUUUCGGCUGACACUGUUGCCACUGUGCAGUGGCAAGCAAACUCUAUGAAGAAACAAGGGUGCACCGUUGUCCGCCAGUGUUAAUCCUUCUGUAGUUAAUGUUCAGAGUACUCAACUCAAUGUCUACACUGCGCUUUAUUCUGCUUUCUUUGGUUUGCAAGGUCGGAGGAGGUAUGGGAACAAAUGGAAGUUCAGUUGUAUUUGAACUGCCCUGCAUAUCUAUAAGGCAGUUUCUGGUGUAGACUAUUGGAGAUUGGAGUUAUGAGAUGAUCGACAACAGUACUAGAAAUUAUACAUUUCGGUGUCUUGCUUAGCCAAACUCAACUGGCAAAUAUGCCAUUUGCAGUUGAAGUAAAAAUUGCUGAUUAAGGCAUCCGUUGGAUUUGGUGUUGGAAGACGAGAAAAUUCCAACUAAUAUGCAGAAUUCAAAGUUGUAUGCUUCAAUCUUAUGUGGUUGGAUCUAAUUAAUUUGUAUACUUGGUCUGUCGAGCAGGCUUUUAUAGUUUAGCAACUUGUAAAUUAUGCUAUGAGAAGUAUUUGAAAUAAAAAGCAUGUAUUUUGAGAUGUCUCC
Molecule: long non-coding RNA, 1733 nt
Organism: Panicum virgatum (switchgrass)
Lineage: Eukaryota; Viridiplantae; Streptophyta; Magnoliopsida; Poales; Poaceae
Exons: 5
Source: RefSeq, a predicted model, not a curated record